AGAUUUCCGGAGCUCCUUUCCUAGCUGCCUUCUGUCCAGUACUCUGCCCCACAGACUCCAGGCAUCUCAGUAGCUCCAAACUCUGAUCUCUGCCUCCCCAGUUCAGUGGCCACUAUCCCCCCCAGGUAGAAACUCAGUGACAGCACCUGGUCGGUUAAGCAUCCAACUCUUGAUCUCAGCUCAGGUCUUGAUCUCAGGGUCAAGAGUUUAAGCCCCACCUUGGGCUCCAUGCUGGGUGUGGAGCCUAUUA
This is a long non-coding RNA of Lutra lutra (Eurasian river otter), 250 nucleotides long. RefSeq lists it as uncharacterized. Lineage: Eukaryota; Metazoa; Chordata; Mammalia; Carnivora; Mustelidae. The record is from RefSeq and is a predicted model, not a curated record. The transcript is spliced from 2 exons.